AACGAACGCUGGCGGCAUGCCUAACACAUGCAAGUCGAACGAAGGCUUCGGCCUUAGUGGCGCACGGGUGCGUAACGCGUGGGAAUCUGCCCUUUGCUUCGGAAUAACAGUUAGAAAUGACUGCUAAUACCGGAUGAUGUCGCAAGACCAAAGAUUUAUCGGCAAAGGAUGAGCCCGCGUAGGAUUAGCUUGUUGGUGAGGUAAAAGCUCACCAAGGCGACGAUCCUUAGCUGGUCUGAGAGGAUGAUCAGCCACACUGGGACUGAGACACGGCCCAGACUCCUACGGGAGGCAGCAGUGGGGAAUAUUGGACAAUGGGCGAAAGCCUGAUCCAGCAAUGCCGCGUGAGUGAUGAAGGCCUUAGGGUUGUAAAGCUCUUUUACCCGGGAUGAUAAUGACGGUACCGGGAGAAUAAGCUCCGGCUAACUCCGUGCCAGCCGCCGCGGUAA
Molecule: ribosomal RNA, 449 nt
Filed under: uncultured bacterium
Lineage: Bacteria
Description: partial 16S ribosomal RNA
Rfam family: Bacterial small subunit ribosomal RNA
Source: RNAcentral